CCUUGAAGAUAAGGUGAAGCAGGGUGCGCUUACUCAAAAAUUCAACCUAUAUUUUAAUCAAUAAGCUUUGCAUUUUCAGGGAGAAGUGCAGCUACCAGCACUUGAAAUGUUUAAAAGAAGGCUGUGAUUCAGCAUGCUCCUGCUCGUGGGCUUGAUGCACGUUUUGCCGGUUGCUGACUACUGAGAUAGGUAGGUUGUGUUUAAACUAAGGUCUGGAGCCCUUGAUCAAAAGCAGGCCUGUAUGUGUAAUUUUCAAUAUAACAUAAGACAGUGCCCUCUCCAAAGAUCAUACUAUCUAAAACAGUGUUAGUGCUGAGAAUUUGUCUGUGCGGAGGCUUCUGCAUAACACAGAGCUGUGCAGUAUGUUUCAUUUCAUAACAUGGUGAAACUUAGCAGCUCAGAGAGAGCUCUUGCAGCGCUGAAGAGUCAGGAAACUGAGACUAGAUUGGCAGGGUGAAGAGCAGACAUAACUAACAAAGUGUUUAAAAUGAUACAUUUGAAGUUCAGAGCUGCUGUUUUUUAUUUCUUUCAUUAUAUUUCUUCUGCCCUGUUCUGCAGUCUUUUAUCUGGGUAUACAGAACAGUUGACCUUAACAGAAAAUGAGAACGUCUUUCAUGGGGUCUGGAGGUCAUGAAGACCAAAUCCAGAGAUGCCGUCUUCCCUGAGCUGCGAUAUUCCCGGACUGACUCCUUAGCUAGCUCAUGGUGCAUACAAGGAACACCUCUGGUUGCUCAGGCAGUGAGUGGAGCCAGUCAUUUCACGUACUUCCACCUUUUGUCUAAAUAUGGGAAGAAAGAUAAAAGACUUCUUUGUAACUGAACUGCGUCAUAGGUGCUGGAGUCUUGAAGAAUUGUCUUAAAACUAUAUCCAAUGGCUCUAUCACAUCCUAAAUUGUAUUGCAGGAAAUUCAUCUUGAAUUUCAUUACUCCCAUGUUGGUAUACAUCUCUUACAUAGGUAAGUUAAGUCUGAGUGCACAUAAUUGUCUACUAGGACAUUGCUCAUUUUCAUGUCUCAUAUAAACGCUUCCCAUUUUCUCCUUGCUUCAAGUGCAGAAACCCUUGAAAAAAUAAAAAUCAGUUCUCACCCA
This 1088-nucleotide long non-coding RNA is filed under the name Numida meleagris (helmeted guineafowl). RNAcentral's name for it is "lncRNA (ENSNMEG00000018494.1)". The record is from RNAcentral. Lineage: Eukaryota; Metazoa; Chordata; Aves; Galliformes; Numididae.